This 482-nucleotide ribosomal RNA is filed under the name uncultured bacterium. RNAcentral describes it as "bacterial SSU rRNA". It matches the Rfam family "Bacterial small subunit ribosomal RNA", at positions 30 to 506 of the family's 1533-position model. The record is from RNAcentral.
UUGAACGCUGGCGGCAUGCCUUACACAUGCAAGUCGAACGGCAGCACGGGGGCAACCCUGGUGGCGAGUGGCGAACGGGUGAGUAAUACAUCGGAACGUGCCCUGAAGUGGGGGAUAACGUAGCGAAAGUUACGCUAAUACCGCAUAUUCUGUGAGCAGGAAAGCAGGGGAUCGCAAGACCUUGCGCUUUAGGAGCGGCCGAUGUCGGAUUAGGUAGUUGGUGGGGUAAAGGCUCACCAAGCCUGCGAUCUGUAGCUGGUCUGAGAGGACGACCAGCCACACUGGGACUGAGACACGGCCCAGACUCCUACGGGAGGCAGCAGUGGGGAAUUUUGGACAAUGGGCGCAAGCCUGAUCCAGCCAUUCCGCGUGCAGGAUGAAGGCCUUCGGGUUGUAAACUGCUUUUGUACGGAACGAAAAGGCUCUGGUGAAUACCUGGGGCUCAUGACGGUACCGUAAGAAUAAGCACCGGCUAACUACGU